Molecule: ribosomal RNA, 320 nt
Filed under: Bacilli bacterium
Lineage: Bacteria; Bacillati; Bacillota; Bacilli
Description: bacterial SSU rRNA
Rfam family: Bacterial small subunit ribosomal RNA
Source: RNAcentral
UUUUUGGAGAGUUUGAUCUUGGCUCAGGACGAACGCUGGCGGCGUGCCUAAUACAUGCAAGUCGAGCGCUGGAAGCUAAUUUCAUCCCUUCGGGAUGAAAUUAGUGGAAAGAGCGGCGGACGGGUGAGUAACACGUGGGCAACCUACCUAUAAGACUGGGAUAACUCGCGGAAACGUGAGCUAAUACCGGAUAAUACUUUUUAUUGCAUAAUAAGGAGUUUGAAAGGCGGCGUAAGCUGUCACUUAUAGAUGGGCCCGCGGCGCAUUAGCUAGUUGGUGAGGUAAAGGCUCACCAAGGCAACGAUGCGUAGCCGACCUGA